Drosophila willistoni is the source of this 642-nucleotide long non-coding RNA. RefSeq lists it as uncharacterized. Lineage: Eukaryota; Metazoa; Arthropoda; Insecta; Diptera; Drosophilidae. The record is from RefSeq and is a predicted model, not a curated record. The transcript has 3 exons.
UCGUGCUGAUCAAGAAUAUAUAUACUUUAUAUGGUCAGAUAUGCUGCCUUCUAUGCGCAUCUUUGACAAAAAUUAAUAUACAUUUUUGCAAAGGAAAAACCACAGUUAAAUGUUAAAAAGAGUUUCGAUAUCGAAAAUAUCGAUAUUGGACGAUAUUGUACGUCAAAUGAUAUUUUCGAUUUAAUAUUAAAUGCGAUAUUGUCGUUGAUAUGCAAAAUUAUUUUCUUGGCCCUUAUGCAUCGCUAAUUACAGCCAACAUUAAAGAAAGACCGCAUAAAUUGACCAAAUUCGAAACAGUGAAAUCUUAAACACCAAUAGAUUUUUAUAUUUUACAAAAUUCCACAAGACUAAUAACGGUAUAUAUAUAUAUAAAAAAUAGAUCACCCUUUUCACCAUCCAACAGAGACGUUCAUACUUUACGCGGUCCGAUUGACUUUUUUUUAUCGGUAUUUGCUAAAUGCAUCACUGAAAAUUUGCCAUUCUCUAGAAAAGAGUCAUUUUACACCAAAAACAAUGGGUGAGAAAAGAAAAAGCAAUUUUUAAGCAGUUAACAAAUUUCUUUCCAAUUUGGUUCUAUUUGAGUUUCAAAGCUACCACAUCGAAGCUUCGGAAAUACAUACAUAUUUACAUAUAUGUACAUAC